RNAcentral lists this ribosomal RNA (253 nucleotides) under uncultured bacterium. RNAcentral describes it as "partial 16S ribosomal RNA". It matches the Rfam family "Bacterial small subunit ribosomal RNA", at positions 524 to 776 of the family's 1533-position model. The record is from RNAcentral.
UACGUAGGGGGCCAGCGUUGCUCGGAAUUACUGGGCGUAAAGGGUUCGUAGGUGGUGCGGCAAGUUGGAAGUGAAAUCUCUGGGCUUAACCCAGAGGCUGCUUUCAAAACUACCGUGCUUGAGUGUGGGAGAGGCGCGUGGAAUUGCAGGUGUAGCGGCGAAAUGCGUAGAUAUCUGCAGGAACACCCGUGGCGAAAGCGGCGCGCUGGACCACUACUGACGCUGAGGAACGAAAGCUAGGGGAGCAAACAGG